AGCCCCUUAAGGAUCCAAACCAAUAUCCCUCCGGAUUACGUUGAUCCAGUCCUCAUCUCAGCCAUCAGCCGAAUCCAGAGCCUCCACGUCCUUCCCAUCAUCUCCCGUGUUCCACAACAAAACCAAGCCUCAGCCGAUUCCCAAACCGAGAUCCUCACAAUCUUCUUCCGGAUUCCUCUCUCCCACGAUUGUAAUCCAGUCAUUCACGAUCAGCCCUUCCUCCCAACUUCCAAAUCCUUCCCAGAUUCCCAAGCUUCCCGUGAGCCAAAUCCUCCCAUUCGAAGCAUCCUCAGCUAGAUCCCAGUCAAGAUAAGUCUUCCGGAUUCCUCUGUUCUGGAAUUAAUUCCAGCCAUCCGGAUUUGCUCCCAUGUUCUUCGCCGAAUCUCCCAGCUUCAUCCCGUUCAAAUUCCCUCAUCCACAAAUCCUGAUCUAGCCGAGAUCCUCUCAGAGCUCGUUUCCAGCCGUCCGUAGCCUCCCGUGUGCGUUUCAUUCGGAUCCAAAGAACAGAGCCAUCAUCUUCUCAGCCGUAAGCUUCAUCCACAUCACUCCCUGCUUCAAAACAAAAUUCCCUGCAUCUCAAAACAGAGCUCAUCCUCUCCGAAAAUCAAGCAUUUCCCCUGCAUUUGUGAUCCAUCUUCAUCCAAGCUUCCGAGAUCCUCUCACACAAUCCACAUCCUCCCCUGUUUCGGAAACAGAACAGAGUAUCAGCCUAUUCACGCUCAUUCCAGCC
RNAcentral lists this long non-coding RNA (730 nucleotides) under Phoenix dactylifera (date palm). RNAcentral's name for it is "long non-coding RNA (PDAC_LNC018881)". The record is from RNAcentral. Lineage: Eukaryota; Viridiplantae; Streptophyta; Magnoliopsida; Arecales; Arecaceae.